Long non-coding RNA from Capsicum annuum, 515 nucleotides. RefSeq lists it as uncharacterized. The record is from RefSeq and is a predicted model, not a curated record. NCBI's taxonomy places the organism in Eukaryota, Viridiplantae, Streptophyta, Magnoliopsida, Solanales, Solanaceae. The transcript is spliced from 3 exons.
CCCAUUACAUUUUCAUAGAGAAAUUAAGAUUAGCAAGACAGUACUUCUGCCUGCAUUCACGCCAAAACAGGAGAAAGAAUUCCAAAUCAAAUUUCUCGUUCAGUUAGAAAAAAAAAAGAAAGAGUUCAAGCUUUGAUUGAAAAAUUAUUUCGGGUUAAGAUUCGAUCGAAGGGAGUCCUAUCAAUUGUUCGAGGUGACAAGUUGGUAUUCCGGAAAUAAUAUAAGAACACAGGUGACGGUGAGGAUCGCAUUGGCUAAAGGAUCCGAGUAGCAUAUUCUUGAUAAGCCCCGCAAUUGUUCACGUGGGCUAUAGUUUAUUUAUUCGUUAUGUUUCUUUUUCUUGAAAACUCUUAGUUUGCUCCAUAGUCAUGUCUUUAGAGUUUUGUGUACUCUUCGUUAUUUUGGAUUUGUGGAAUAUUGGAUCUUCUCUCAUCUUUGGAGAUGAUUUUCGUAUUGUUAGUUGGUGGUAUUGGUGAAAUGUUGGUAAUAUAUGGUGAAUUAUGUUGGUGUUUGUG